GCCUGGCUGGCUCAGUUGGAGGAGCGCGUGACUCUUGAUCUGGGGGUUGGGAGUUCGAAUCCCACGCUGGGUG
This 73-nucleotide transfer RNA is filed under the name Felis catus (domestic cat). It matches the Rfam family "tRNA". Rfam says of the family: Transfer RNA (tRNA) molecules are approximately 80 nucleotides in length. Lineage: Eukaryota; Metazoa; Chordata; Mammalia; Carnivora; Felidae. RNAcentral also lists the same sequence under 5 other names. The record is from Rfam by way of RNAcentral.